Molecule: ribosomal RNA, 243 nt
Filed under: uncultured bacterium
Lineage: Bacteria
Description: partial 16S ribosomal RNA
Rfam family: Bacterial small subunit ribosomal RNA
Source: RNAcentral
UACGUAGGGGGCAAGCGUUGUCCGGAAUUAUUGGGCGUAAAGCGCGCGCAGGCGGCUGUUUAAGUCUGGUGUUUAAAACCAUGGGCUCAACCUGUGGUCGCACUGGAAACUGGGCAGCUUGAGUACAGAAGAGGAAAGUGGAAUUCCACGUGUAGCGGUGAAAUGACGUAGAGAUGUGGAGGAACACCAGUGGCGAAGGCGACUUUCUGGGCUGUAACUGACGCUGAGGCGCGAAAGCGUGGG